This 163-nucleotide ribosomal RNA is filed under the name uncultured bacterium. Its description in RNAcentral is "partial 16S ribosomal RNA". It matches the Rfam family "Bacterial small subunit ribosomal RNA", at positions 355 to 508 of the family's 1533-position model. The record is from RNAcentral.
UAGGGAAUCUUCGGCAAUGGACGAAAGUCUGACCGAGCAACGCCGCGUGAGUGAAGAAGGUUUUCGGAUCGUAAAACUCUGUUGUUAGAGAAGAACGUUGUGUAGAGUGGAAAAUUACACAAGUGACGGUAUCUAGACCAGAAAGGGACGGCUAACUACGUGC